Molecule: microRNA, 22 nt
Filed under: Branchiostoma floridae (Florida lancelet)
Lineage: Eukaryota; Metazoa; Chordata; Leptocardii; Amphioxiformes; Branchiostomatidae
Also listed under: 2 other names
Description: bfl-miR-278
Gene: bfl-miR-278
Source: miRBase by way of RNAcentral
UCGGUGGGGUUUUCGUUCGAGU